ACGCACGCUGGCGGCGUGCUUAACACAUGCAGGUCGAACGGAAAGGCCCUGCUUGCAGGGUACUCGAGUGGCGAACGGGUGAGUAACACGUGGGUGAUCUGCCCUGCACUUCGGGAUAAGCCUGGGAAACUGGGUCUAAUACCGGAUAGGAGCCAUUUUUAGUGUGAUGGUUGGAAAGUUUUUUCGGUGUAGGAUGAGCUCGCGGCCUAUCAGCUUGUUGGUGGGGUAAUGGCCUACCAAGGCGGCGACGGGUAGCCGGCCUGAGAGGGUGGACGGCCACAUUGGGACUGAGAUACGGCCCAGACUCCUACGGGAGGCAGCAGUGGGGAAUAUUGCACAAUGGGCGCAAGCCUGAUGCAGCGACGCCGCGUGGGGGAUGACGGCCUUCGGGUUGUAAACUCCUUUCGCUAGGGACGAAGCUUUUUGUGACGGUACCUAGAUAAGAAGCACCGGCUAACUACGUG
RNAcentral lists this ribosomal RNA (464 nucleotides) under uncultured bacterium. RNAcentral describes it as "partial 16S ribosomal RNA". It matches the Rfam family "Bacterial small subunit ribosomal RNA", at positions 29 to 507 of the family's 1533-position model. The record is from RNAcentral.